CCGGGAUGAAAAUUAAAAGUUCUUAAAAGUCCAAAAACUUUCCUUUUUGAUGGUUUGGGGAAAACGCCCACCUGUCUUAUUCAGUAUGAGCAUGCUUUCUAUUCUAUAGAUAAUUCCAAAGAAAUGGGCAAAACCGGGGAAUCAGGUCAACAAUGGCUAGUGGUAGAACGCUUGCUUAGGAAGUGGAAAGCCUGGGAUUCGAAUCCCAGCAUCGGAAAAAUGAGGCAAGGCAGCGAAAACUAUUGUAAAGCCACAG
This is a long non-coding RNA of Perognathus longimembris pacificus (Pacific pocket mouse), 256 nucleotides long. RefSeq lists it as uncharacterized. NCBI's taxonomy places the organism in Eukaryota, Metazoa, Chordata, Mammalia, Rodentia, Heteromyidae. The transcript is spliced from 3 exons. The record is from RefSeq and is a predicted model, not a curated record.